GUAAAGCGAGCGCAGGCGGAAAAAUAAGUCUAAUGUGAAAGCCCUCGGCUUAACCGAGGAACUGCAUCGGAAACUGUUUUUCUUGAGUGCAGAAGAGGAGAGUGGAACUCCAUGUGUAGCGGUGGAAUGCGUAGAUAUAUGGAAGAACACCAGUGGCGAAGGCGGCUCUCUGGUCUGCAACUGACGCUGAGGCUCGAAAGCAUGGGUAGCGAACAGGAUUAGAUACCCUGGUAGUCCAUGCCGUAAACGAUGAGUGCUAAGUGUUGGGAGGUUUCCGCCUCUCAGUGCUGCAGCUAACGCAUUAAGCACUCCGCCUGGGGAGUACGACCGCAAGGUUGAAACUCAAAGGAAUUGACGGGGGCCCGCACAAGCGGUGGAGCAUGUGGUUUAAUUCGACGCAACGCGAAGAACCUUACCAGGUCUUGACAUCUAGUGCAAUCUGUAGAGAUACGGAGUUCCCUUCGGGGACGCUAAGACAGGUGGUGCAUGGCUGUCGUCAGCUCGUGUCGUGAGAUGUUGGGUUAAGUCCCGCAACGAGCGCAACCCUUGUUAUUAGUUGCCAGCAUUAAGUUGGGCACUCUAAUGAGACUGCCGGUGACAAACCGGAGGAAGGUGGGGAUGACGUCAAGUCAUCAUGCCCCUUAUGACCUGGGCUACACACGUGCUACAAUGGGCAGUACAACGAGAAGCAAGCCUGCGAAGGCAAGCGAAUCUCUGAAAGCUGUUCUCAGUUCGGACUGCAGUCUGCAACUCGACUGCACGAAGCUGGAAUCG
This 774-nucleotide ribosomal RNA is filed under the name uncultured Bacillota bacterium. RNAcentral's name for it is "bacterial SSU rRNA". It matches the Rfam family "Bacterial small subunit ribosomal RNA", at positions 560 to 1334 of the family's 1533-position model. Lineage: Bacteria; Bacillati; Bacillota. The record is from RNAcentral.